This 219-nucleotide ribosomal RNA is filed under the name uncultured bacterium. RNAcentral's name for it is "partial 16S ribosomal RNA". It matches the Rfam family "Bacterial small subunit ribosomal RNA", at positions 57 to 305 of the family's 1533-position model. The record is from RNAcentral.
GCAAGUCGAGCGCACUCUUCGGAGUGAGCGGCGGACGGGUUAGUAACGCGUGGGAACAUACCCUUUUCUACGGAAUAGCCAUUGGAAACGAUGAGUAAUACCGUAUACGCCCUACGGGGGAAAGAAUUUCGCCUUUGGAUUGGCCCGCGUUGGAUUAGAUAGUUGGUGGGGUAACGGCCUACCAAGUCUACGAUCUAUAGCUGGUUUGAGAGGAUGAUC